CCAACUAACCAACCAACCUCAAGGAGUGCUCGCUCAAGGGGAAAGCACUGCAGAGGAGUCCAUGGCGGCGGCGACAUCGUCUCCGGCAGCCGUCCUCGCCUUCCUCGCGCGGCCCCUCUCGCUGCUGCGCCACGUCGCACACGGCUGCACGCCUGCGCCGGCUACCUCGGCGGCCUCGCCUCACGCCUGAAAGUGAAACCUGCCGCCGAUGCUACUGCUUGUCAGCCUCAGCAAGAAGAGGGAACCGUCGAGGCUGCAGCUGUUGUGACUGAAGAAGAGGUGGUGGUGGUUCAAGUGCGGUCGAGAGAGGGCUCAAGGAAGGCAGGGGUGGCGGUGGCGGUGUGCACCAUAAAUAGUCUCUCCCCGUAUGCUUCUAUUUAGUGGUGCAAAUUGGUGAUCCAUAAAUGCACCUCUAACUCUUUUAGUUCAAAAUUUUGUACUAAUUUUCUAAAAUAAAAUAUAAUUUUGAAGAAAAAGUGCAAAAUUUUGAACUAGAGAGGGUUAGAUAUGCAACUAAGGAUCACUAAUUGGCACUCCUACUUCUACUGUAUAUGACCCUCCUGCUGCAUCAAUCUUCAUAGACGACAUAUACUCAAUGCAAAUCAGGAGCAGAGUUGGU
Molecule: long non-coding RNA, 619 nt
Organism: Panicum virgatum (switchgrass)
Lineage: Eukaryota; Viridiplantae; Streptophyta; Magnoliopsida; Poales; Poaceae
Exons: 2
Source: RefSeq, a predicted model, not a curated record